GCAGGAAUGGCGGAGUGGUCAAUCGCGGCAGACUGUAAAUCUGCUCCCUUCGGGGUUCAUUGGUUCAAAUCCAAUUUCCUGCA
This 83-nucleotide transfer RNA is filed under the name Candidatus Dojkabacteria bacterium. Its description in RNAcentral is "tRNA-Tyr". It matches the Rfam family "tRNA". Rfam says of the family: Transfer RNA (tRNA) molecules are approximately 80 nucleotides in length. Their secondary structure includes four short double-helical elements and three loops (D, anti-codon, and T loops). The record is from RNAcentral.